RNAcentral lists this ribosomal RNA (492 nucleotides) under uncultured bacterium. RNAcentral describes it as "partial 16S ribosomal RNA". It matches the Rfam family "Bacterial small subunit ribosomal RNA", at positions 29 to 507 of the family's 1533-position model. The record is from RNAcentral.
AGUGAACGCUGGCGAUAGGCCUAACGCAUGCAAGUCGAACGGCAGCACAGUAAGAGCUUGCUCUUACGGGUGGCGAGUGGCGGACGGGUGAGGAAUACAUCGGAAUCUACUUUUUCGUGGGGGAUAACGUAGGGAAACUUACGCUAAUACCGCAUACGACCUACGGGUGAAAGCAGGGGAUCUUCGGACCUUGCGCGAUUGAAUGAGCCGAUGUCGGAUUAGCUAGUUGGCGGGGUAAAGGCCCACCAAGGCGACGAUCCGUAGCUGGUCUGAGAGGAUGAUCAGCCACACUGGAACUGAGACACGGUCCAGACUCCUACGGGAGGCAGCAGUGGGGAAUAUUGGACAAUGGGCGCAAGCCUGAUCCAGCCAUACCGCGUGGGUGAAGAAGGCCUUCGGGUUGUAAAGCCCUUUUGUUGGGAAAGAAAAGCAGCAGGUUAAUACCCCGCUGUUCUGACGGUACCCAAAGAAUAAGCACCGGCUAACUUCGUG